GGCCAGACUCCUACGGGAGGCAGCAGUGGGGAAUAUUGCACAAUGGGGGAAACCCUGAUGCAGCGACGCCGCGUGAGUGAAGAAGUAUUUCGGUAUGUAAAGCUCUAUCAGCAGGGAAGAAAAUGACGGUACCUGACUAAGAAGCCCCGGCUAACUACGUGCCAGCAGCCGCGGUAAUACGUAGGGGGCAAGCGUUAUCCGGAUUUACUGGGUGUAAAGGGAGCGUAGACGGCAUGGCAAGUCAGAUGUGAAAGCCCGGGGCUCAACCCCGGGACUGCAUUUGAAACUGUCAGGCUGGAGUGCAGGAGAGGUAAGUGGAAUUCCUAGUGUAGCGGUGAAAUGCGUAGAUAUUAGGAGGAACACCAGUGGCGAAGGCGGCUUACUGGACUGUAACUGACGUUGAGGCUCGAAAGCGUGGGGAGCAAACAGGAUUAGAUACCCCGGUAC
This 447-nucleotide ribosomal RNA is filed under the name uncultured bacterium. Its description in RNAcentral is "bacterial SSU rRNA". It matches the Rfam family "Bacterial small subunit ribosomal RNA", at positions 329 to 793 of the family's 1533-position model. The record is from RNAcentral.